Chrysemys picta bellii (western painted turtle) is the source of this 1306-nucleotide non-coding RNA. Lineage: Eukaryota; Metazoa; Chordata; Testudines; Emydidae. The record is from RefSeq and is a predicted model, not a curated record.
UGUGCGCGCGCAAAGGUUGCGCCCAGCACUCGCUGCAAGAGGCAGAGACGGGCAGGACAACUCUGCCCCCACCUCCUGUCUCAAAGCCGGCCGGAUAUAUAGUGUCAGCGGCUGGAAGAGGAGGAGAGAAGAGGUUUUGUGUGCCCCCCCCCUUGCCUAGAGUUGCUUGUGAUCGGGGAGGCGGGGGAAGCGUUUUGGAGCCGGGAAUGGAUCGGAAACGGUAACGAAGAUUCAACUGUACAUACAAUCGCCUGAAUAUACAUGCAAAGAAUUGGGAAUGCAAGUGGUGAAUAAUCACAAAAGGCUAGAUUCUUCCAUCCUUGCUCACAAGCCCAUGUGAAAACCUCUAGUUUUUAUUCCUGUAGUUCAGGAAUGAACGGCUGCCAAAAAGUGAUGUAUUCUUCUUCUUCUUUGUUCCAGCUGUUUGGAAGACAUAAGAAUUGUCUGACUCUUUAAUGUCACAUUUAUUUCAAGAGUCCAGUAUUUUUGUCCUUUGCUCUUGGUCCAGGUUUUAGAACUCUAGCCUGGAACUUGGCAUACUUGGGUUCUGUUUCCUGCUCUGUCACAGACUAUGGCCAGGUCUACACUACAAACUUACCUCAUUCAGGGUGUGGAAAAAUGGAGCGAUGUAGUUAUAUUGACUGAACUCCUGGAGUAGACAGUGCUGUGUCGACAGGAAAGCUUCUCCUACCAACAUAAUUAUGGCCUCUUGUGGAGGUGGAUUAGAUAUGCCAAUGGGCGAAGUUCUCCCAUUGGAGUAGUAGUAUCUUCACUGAAGUGCUACAGUGGUGCAGCUGCAGUGCUGUCUGUGUAAACAAGCUCUACAUCUGUGACUUUGGGCAGGUCACUUAACGUCAGACUUCUUCAGUUCUCCAUCUGUAAAAUGCAAUACAAUUUUAGUACUUCCCUACCUCACAGGGGUGUUGUGAAGCUAAAUACGUUAAAGAUUGUGAGGCACUCAGAUACUAUAUUAAUAGGUACCAUAUAAUUACCAUCUAAUAGGUCCCCAGCUGAUCUGAUAUUUUGUGCAUUGGUGGUAGAGAAUUAGGUUUUCCUCCUGCAGUGCUGCCCUCUACUUGCAGCAUUGUUUUAACUAGAUCAGGGGUAGGCAACCUACGGCAUGUGUGCCCAAGGCAGCACACGAGCUCAUUUUCAGUAGCACUCAUACUACCCGGGUCCUAGCCACAGGUCUGGGGGGCUCUGCAUUUUAAUUUAAUUUUAAAUGAGGCUUCUGAAACAUUUUAAAAACCUUAUUUACUUUAAAUACAACAAUAGUUUAGUUAUAUAUAUUAUAGACUUAUAGAAA